RNAcentral lists this ribosomal RNA (407 nucleotides) under uncultured bacterium. RNAcentral describes it as "partial 16S ribosomal RNA". It matches the Rfam family "Bacterial small subunit ribosomal RNA", at positions 28 to 526 of the family's 1533-position model. The record is from RNAcentral.
GAUGAACGCUAGCUACAGGCUUAACACAUGCAAGUCGAGCGACCGGCGCACGGGUGAGUAACGCGUAUCCAACCUGCCCGUAACUAAGGGAUAACCCAGCGAAAGUUGGACUAAUACCUUAUGGUUAUGGCUGGGGUGGCGUUUGAUUGGCUUGUUGGCAGGGUAACGGCCCACCAAGGCACCGAUCAGUAGGGGUUCUGAGAGGAAGGUCCCCCGGAUCGGAACUACGACACGGUCCAAACUCGUACGGGAGGAAGCGGUGAGGAGCAGAGGGGAAUGGACGCAAGUCUGAACAAGCCGAGUAGCGUGCAGGAUGACUGGGUGUUGGUUGUCAAUUGGUUUUAUAGAGGGAUAGGUACCAGAUGAAUAAGGACCGGCUAAUUCCGUGCCAGCAGCCGCGGUAAUUC